This 253-nucleotide ribosomal RNA is filed under the name uncultured bacterium. RNAcentral's name for it is "partial 16S ribosomal RNA". It matches the Rfam family "Bacterial small subunit ribosomal RNA", at positions 524 to 776 of the family's 1533-position model. The record is from RNAcentral.
CACGUAGGGUGCGAGCGUUGUCCGGAAUUAUUGGGCGUAAAGAGCUCGUAGGCGGUCUGUCGCGUCGGAUGUGAAAAUCCAGGGCUCAACCCUGGACCUGCAUUCGAUACGGGCAGACUAGAGUUCGGCAGGGGAGACUGGAAUUCCUGGUGUAGCGGUGAAAUGCGCAGAUAUCAGGAGGAACACCGGUGGCGAAGGCGGGUCUCUGGGCCGAUACUGACGCUGAGGAGCGAAAGCGUGGGGAGCGAACAGG